Molecule: ribosomal RNA, 492 nt
Filed under: uncultured Acidobacteriota bacterium
Lineage: Bacteria; Pseudomonadati; Acidobacteriota
Description: bacterial SSU rRNA
Rfam family: Bacterial small subunit ribosomal RNA
Source: RNAcentral
UUGAUCCUGGCUCAGAAUCAACGCUGGCGGCGCGCUUAACACAUGCAAGUCGCACGAGAAAGUUGUGAAAGAGCAAUCUGGAUCAAUGAGUAAAGUGGCUUACGGGUGAGUAACACGUGGAUCAUCUACCUUUUAGUGGGGAAUACCUCUUGGAAACGGGAGACAAUACCGCAUAAGCUCGAAAGAGGAAAGCAGCAAUUCGCUGAAAGAGGAGUCCGCGGCCGAUUAGCUAGUUGGCGGGGUAACGGCUCACCAAGGCGAAGAUCGGUAGCCGGCCUGAGAGGGCUCACGGCCACACUUGCACUGAAACACGGGCCAGACUCCUACGGGAGGCAGCAGUGGGGAAUCUUGCACAAUGGAGGAAACUCUGAUGCAGCGACGCCGCGUGAGCGAUGAAGCUCUUCGGGGUGUAAAGCUCUUUCGACGGGAACGAUAAUGACGGUACCCGAUGAAGAAGCUGCGGCUAACUACGUGCCAGCAGCCGCGGUAAUU